Molecule: small nuclear RNA, 193 nt
Filed under: Ixodes scapularis (black-legged tick)
Lineage: Eukaryota; Metazoa; Arthropoda; Arachnida; Ixodida; Ixodidae
Description: U2 spliceosomal RNA
Rfam family: U2 spliceosomal RNA
About the family: U2 is a small nuclear RNA (snRNA) component of the spliceosome (involved in pre-mRNA splicing). Complementary binding between U2 snRNA (in an area lying towards the 5' end but 3' to hairpin I) and the branchpoint sequence (BPS) of the intron results the bulging out of an unpaired adenosine, on the BPS, which initiates a nucleophilic attack at the intronic 5' splice site, thus starting the first of two transesterification reactions that mediate splicing.
Source: Rfam by way of RNAcentral
AUCGCUUCUCGGCCUUUUAGGGCUCUGAUCGUUUUGUAGUAUCUGUUCUUAUCAGCUUAAUAUCUGAUACGGUCCCUAUAUGGGUCCGUGAUAUUAGCCUUAUUUUUGUAACUUGGCGGGGUUGCUGGGCUUGCCCAGGUUCCUGCCAGGGUCUGCCCGGUAUUGCACUACAACCGGGAUUGGCCCAGUUCCU